Molecule: ribosomal RNA, 292 nt
Filed under: uncultured bacterium
Lineage: Bacteria
Description: partial 16S ribosomal RNA
Rfam family: Archaeal small subunit ribosomal RNA
Source: RNAcentral
UGCCAGCCGCCGCGGUAAUACCGGCAGCCCGAGUGAUGGCCGAUCUUAUUGGGCCUAAAGCGUCCGUAGCUGGCCGCGCAAGUCCAUCGGAAAAUCCACCCGCCCAACGGGUGGGCGUCCGGUGAAACCCGCAAGGCUUGGGACCGGAAGACCCGACGGGUACGUCCAGGGUAGGAGUGAAAUCCCAUAAUCCCGCACGGACCACCGAUGGCGAAAGCACUUCGAGAAAACGGAUCCGACAGUGAGGGACGAAAGCCAGGGUCUCCAACCGGAUUAGAAACCCGUGUAGUCC